This is an RNA transcript of Phoenix dactylifera (date palm), 2157 nucleotides long. It is a transcript of the gene named F-box protein At5g46170-like, with no coding region annotated. NCBI's taxonomy places the organism in Eukaryota, Viridiplantae, Streptophyta, Magnoliopsida, Arecales, Arecaceae. The record is from RefSeq and is a predicted model, not a curated record.
UCUUUGUCUCUCAUCUUCUUCGUCGCCACCGCAUUAAGCCAUGGCUCAAUCUCGUCCCCCCCUCCACUUCCGUCUCGCUCCCAAAUUCCCCAAUCCCUUCCUCAUCUUUUCCGCACUUCUUUGGAGUUAGGGUUUCUCCUCCCCCUCCAGAAAAAAGAAGAAAAAAGCCGGAUUCCAUCCUUGCUUCCACGGAAGGGAUUCUACGCUCUUCUCCUCUGCUUGUUUUGAUAUUUAUUGGUAUUUAACGAAGUAUUGGGAUCCGAUGGCGUCGUUCGCCGGCCGGGGAGAGUUGGAUCUGGAGGGGUCGAGGCCGUGGCGCGGCGAUCGGGCGGAGGAAGAGGAGGCGGAGGGGAUCGACUACUUCGACCGGUUGCCGGACUCGUUGCUCCUCGACGUCUUCAACCGGAUCGGGGAUGUUAAGGCCCUUGGCCGGUGCUGCGUCGUCUCCCACCGCUUCCACUCCCUUGUCCCUCUCGUCGACUACGUUGUCGUCCACGUCGACUGCGUCAUCUCCGACGACCCUGCCCCGUCCUCCUCCUCCACCACCGCCGCCGGAUGCGGGGGCGGAGGCGCCGGGCCGGACAAGGGUCGGGGCGUCUUCUCUCAUCUCACCCGCCUCGUCUUUGGCAGCCUCGUCAAGCCCCUCCAGGCCCUCGGCCAAAUCCUCGCCCCCGCCGCCUCCGCUGCUUCCCGAAGAUCCUCGGUCUCCUCUUCGUCGUCUUCUUCGUCUUCCUCCUCCUCCUCUGAGGUCUCCCACCACUCCCCGACCGAGGUCCUAAAGAACUUCAAGGAGAUCCGCCGCCUCCGGAUAGAGCUCCCCUCCGGCGAGAUCCGUGUCGAAGACGGUGUCUUCCUCAAGUGGAAGGCCGACUUCGGCUCCACCCUCGACAACUGCGUCAUCCUUUGCGCCUCCUCUGUCCUCUCCUCCUCCUCGCUCCUCUCCCCUAAAUCUUCCAACCCUGACCCUAACCCUAGCUUCCAGGAUGCCUGCGGUGGAGAUGACAGCGGGAACAUCCCGGAGUCCUUCUACACCAAUGGAAGACUGAAGCUUAGGGUCGUGUGGACCAUCAGCUCCCUCAUCGCCGCCUCCGCCCGCCAUUACCUCCUCCAGCCGAUCAUCGCCAACCACGAGACGCUGGAGAGCUUGGAUCUCACAGACGCUGAUGGACAGGGGGUGUUAACCCUGAGCAAGGGGCAGCUGCAGGAGCUGCGGGUGAAGCCGGUCUCGGCGUCGGGGAUGUCGCAGAGGACGCUCGUGCCGGCCCUCAGCAUGCGGCUCUGGUACGCCCCCCACCUGGAACUGCCUGGUGGGGUGGUCCUCGAGGGAGCAACACUGGUGGCCAUUCGGCCGAGCGAGACACCUGGAGGCGGUGGUGGUGGUAUUGGGUCCUCUGAUGGAUGCUGGGUCUUGAAUGCCUUUGAAGAGCCAUACAGGACCGCAGCUAAGUUGCUCGUGAAGAGGAGAAGUUACUGCCUGGAGAUGAAUUCCUUCUGAUCUCAGAACAAGCUGCCCAGAAAAUCCAUCCCCCAAAGAAGAUUGGAUGAAGGCGAAGGAGACUGGGAUGUGGAAUUGUAUGCGGAAUCUGUUUGGGGUUGAUUGUUUAUUUCCAUAUGCUGAAGGCCUGGUAGUAUGUGAUCCCUUCUGAGGGUUUUAGAUGUUCUAGAGAGAAGAGGCAGAUGAAGGAUUCAGAUCUGUUUGUAACCAACUCCUCCACGGCGCGAUAACUCACAUUUUUCUGCUGCAAUGAUGAUGAGUUGCAACAUCACCUUCAUGAGCUGACAAGUAGCAUGCUCCUGUUUUUUUGGGCCCCCCUCUUUAAGAAUAUAUAGGGGCAGUUAGAGCAAGCUCUAUGCCCAACCCCGCCGAUCCUUGCAAUGUCAAUAUGGUACCUUCUGGGUAUGGUCUUUAGUGAACAUAUGUGUUGUAUUUGGUGCAUUAGCAUAAUUGCACUGAUCAAUCAAUCUAUCAGUUAUUCUGCUGUUGAACUUGGAUCAAGUUGUAAUUUUUCAUAAUUGUCUGUGUUCUUGUAACCUCAUGUACAAGCAGUCUGAAUUUUCGGUUUGUGACCGCCACACAGAACUAACACAUGACCUAUUAAUUCGCAAGAUGGUAGUUGUCUGUUCGCUUUGAUAUCUUAGCAGCAUUAUGUUGCUUUA